GUCUACGGCCAUACCACCCUGAAUGCGCCCGAUCUCAUCUGAUCUCGGAAGUUAAGCAGGGUAGGGCCUGGUUAGUACUUGGAUGGGAGACCGAAAUAGGAAGUGAGUUCCCUGAAAGGA
Ribosomal RNA from Panthera leo (lion), 120 nucleotides. Lineage: Eukaryota; Metazoa; Chordata; Mammalia; Carnivora; Felidae. The record is from Ensembl.